This 371-nucleotide ribosomal RNA is filed under the name uncultured bacterium. Its description in RNAcentral is "bacterial SSU rRNA". It matches the Rfam family "Bacterial small subunit ribosomal RNA", at positions 527 to 896 of the family's 1533-position model. The record is from RNAcentral.
AGAGGGGGCAAGCGUUAUUCGGAAUUAUUGGGCGUAAAGGGCGCGUAGGCGGCUUUGCAAGUGACGGGUGAAAUCCCUCGGCUUAACCGAGGAACUGCCUGUCAGACUGCAUGGCUUGAGACCAGGAGAGGUGAGUGGAAUUCCCAGUGUAGCGGUGAAAUGCGUAGAUAUUGGGAGGAACACCAGUGGCGAAGGCGGCUCACUGGACUGGUACUGACGCUGAGGCGCGAAAGCGUGGGGAGCAAACAGGAUUAGAUACCCUGGUAGUCCACGCCGUAAACGAUGAGUGCUUGGUGUAGCGGGUAUCGACCCCUGCUGUGCCGAAGUCAACACAUUAAGCACUCCGCCUGGGGAGUACGGUCGCAAGACUG